This is a long non-coding RNA of Rhagoletis pomonella (apple maggot), 282 nucleotides long. RefSeq lists it as uncharacterized. The record is from RefSeq and is a predicted model, not a curated record. The transcript has 2 exons. NCBI's taxonomy places the organism in Eukaryota, Metazoa, Arthropoda, Insecta, Diptera, Tephritidae.
AAAUUUUGGGCAAGAAAAUCUUUCGUCGCAAAAUAUUGUCCUUAAAUGAAAUUAUUUCACAACUAGAAGAAGAUGACGAUGUAUUGUCCGCAGAUAUAUACAUAACGCCACCGGAAAAUAACGAUAAGAGCGACGAAGAUAGCGGCGAUGAGGAAUCUGCUAAUAUAAACAAUUUGUCAAGAUGCCAGCUAUUAGCGGAAGCUGAAUUUCGAGCAACAGUAGCAUCUCAUAAUGAAUUGGGCACAGUUGAAGACCUUCUGAAUGACUCAGUCGUAGAUGAAA